AACAAACGCUGGCGGCGUGCCUAACACAUGCAAGUCGUACGAGAAAGGGUCCUUCGGGACCUGAGUAAAGUGGCGCACGGGUGAGUAACGCGUGGAUAAUCUGCCCCUCAGUUGGGAAUAACUCAUCGAAAGGUGGGCUAAUACCGAAUAACACUGCUUGGCCCCGGCCAGACAGUCAAAGAGAGCCUCUGCUUGCAUGCCCUUGCUGAAGGAUGAGUCCGCGUACCAUUAGCUAGUUGGCAGGGUAAUGGCCUACCAAGGCGACGAUGGUUAGCUGGUCUGAGAGGAUGAUCAGCCACACUGGAACUGAGACACGGUCCAGACUCCUACGGGAGGCUG
This 339-nucleotide ribosomal RNA is filed under the name uncultured Pseudomonadota bacterium. RNAcentral describes it as "bacterial SSU rRNA". It matches the Rfam family "Bacterial small subunit ribosomal RNA", at positions 29 to 351 of the family's 1533-position model. The record is from RNAcentral. Lineage: Bacteria; Pseudomonadati; Pseudomonadota.